RNAcentral lists this transfer RNA (74 nucleotides) under Bacteroidota bacterium. RNAcentral describes it as "tRNA-Arg". It matches the Rfam family "tRNA". From Rfam's summary of the family: Transfer RNA (tRNA) molecules are approximately 80 nucleotides in length. Their secondary structure includes four short double-helical elements and three loops (D, anti-codon, and T loops). Lineage: Bacteria; Pseudomonadati; Bacteroidota. RNAcentral also lists the same sequence under 1 other name. The record is from RNAcentral.
GGUCCGGUAGCUCAGUUGGAUAGAGCAGCAGCCUUCUAAGCUGCGGGUCGAGGGUUCGAAUCCCCCCCGGAUCA